Molecule: ribosomal RNA, 497 nt
Filed under: uncultured bacterium
Lineage: Bacteria
Description: partial 16S ribosomal RNA
Rfam family: Bacterial small subunit ribosomal RNA
Source: RNAcentral
GAUGAACGCUGGCGGCGUGCCUAAUACAUGCAAGUCGAGCGAACAGACGAGGAGCUUGCUCCUCUGACGUUAGCGGCGGACGGGUGAGUAACACGUGGAUAACCUACCUAUAAGACUGGGAUAACUUCGGGAAACCGGAGCUAAUACCGGAUAAUAUAUUGCACCGCAUGGUUCAAUAGUGAAAGACGGUUUUGCUGUCACUUAUAGAUGGAUCCGCGCCGCAUUAGCUAGUUGGUAAGGUAACGGCUUACCAAGGCGACGAUGCGUAGCCGACCUGAGAGGGUGAUCGGCCACACUGGAACGGAGACACGGUCCAGACUCCUACGGGAGGCAGCAGUAGGGAAUCUUCCGCAAUGGGCGAAAGCCUGACGGAGCAACGCCGCGUGAGUGAUGAAGGUCUUCGGAUCGUAAAACUCUGUUAUUAGGGAAGAACAAAUGUGUAAGUAACUAUGCACGUCUUGACGGUACCUAAUCAGAAAGCCACGGCUAACUACGUG